RNAcentral lists this unclassified non-coding RNA (2931 nucleotides) under Hevea brasiliensis (rubber tree). The record is from RNAcentral. Lineage: Eukaryota; Viridiplantae; Streptophyta; Magnoliopsida; Malpighiales; Euphorbiaceae.
GGUAAAUGGAGAGUUCAUUUUAUUCUUUCAUUUUCUUCCCCUGAACUCUUUAUGCAUUUAAUGCUGGUGUUGCUUCCUUUUUUGGUUUUGUUAAUUUACAGAGAAGUUCGAAAAUCCCUAGCAGACUUGGAAAAGCUUCAUUCUAGUGGGAAAGGUGAAAAUUUAUUUUCACCCAACGCUGGUGGACAUGAUCGCAACAAGGUAUUAAAAAGCCAGCUAUUUGUGGACAAGUUUUCUGAAAGCAUUCAAUAUACAUUUCUGGAUUACCUGAAAGGAGGAUGUGAGCUGAACUUCAUGGUGGCUAUUGAUUUCACUGGUACUUGUCUUUUAAUUUGUCUUUAACUUAAACUACGAUGCCUGGAAUUUUUGCUCCUAAAGGUUAAAUUAUUUUAUCUUAGUUACUUUGGGAAUAUAAUGUAAAUUAUUAUUUGUUGUUUUGGUUUAACAAGUCAUCAAUUAUAUUUAACAUUUGUUAUUGUGUUUCUAUUUGUGAGUUCACACAUCAUAGCAGAUCUGUGAGAUUCAUCAUAUUUCCUUUCUUGAUUUUCAAGUUUCAACAUGAACCAGAAAAGGGCAUUAUGUUGUUGUUACUCACGUAUGUGCCUUGUAAUGAUUUGUAGAAAUUUAUUUAUUCAACUAGACCACUUGAUCAUACCAUUCUCUUUACAUAUAUUAUGAUCUGUGUUGCAAAAGUAUAAUCUACUUGCAGAUGAAAAGAAGUUUAGCUUGUUUAUAAGCCAAAGAUCUCUAGCUAUUUGUUUUUUUGUGACAUUAAAGCAGGAGGAAGUUCUAAGGCCUUUUAAUACAACAUAUGAUCAUGAUCUUUAGGUGUUUUAUCAUAUUAUUAUUAAGGUUUUCCUUCUUUAUUUAACAGUCAUCACUACUGUAUUCCUAUAUAUCAUUUCCCAUUUCCCUCUUCCCCUUUUCUAUGUUUCAUCAUCAUUGGUAGACAACAGUGGGUUAUAGGUACCCUAACAUGUUAUCAUGCCUUUCAUUUUUCGUCUUUCAGCUUCAAAUGGAAAUCCCCGCCUCCCUGAUUCCUUGCAUUAUCUUGAUCCUUCAGGACGGUUAAAUGCAUACCAGCAAGUGAGAAAUCUUGUCUUCCAUAUUUAAUGUUCUUAAUCACUAUCAUUAAUGGACACGUGUUACUACUUGGUACAUACAAACGCUCAAAUUGAUAGGGAAAAUAAUGAGAAAAAAGUUUUACAGAUCUCAGCAAUGUGUGCAAGUCCAUAAAGCACUUGUAUGCAUAUAUAUGUGUGUUUGUGAAAGAGAAAAUUACAAUUGCCCUACAAAGCAAAGGAUUUUUUCUUUAUGUAGAAGUAUAAGGAAAAGCUGAAAUUAUGAAACACCUCUUUUUAUUAAAAUGUCUUUGCCCCUUCAUGCAAAACCACCCCAUUCCCCACCUUUGCAUGGAGCUUUCGGUGUACAAUAUCUUCUUUAAAUAUGAGCCACAAACUCAACAUUGCCAAUUUGUAUUUCAGGCAAUUGUAGAAGUUGGAGAAGUGUUGCAGUUUUAUGAUUCAGACAAGCACUUCCCUGCCUGGGGAUUUGGGGCACGGCCAAUUGAUGGUCCAGUGUCUCAUUGUUUUAACUUGAAUGGAAGCAAUAGUCACUGUGAGGUUGAAGGAAUCCAAGGAAUUAUGAUGGCAUAUACAAGUGCCCUUUUGAAUGUUUCUUUAGCGGGUCCAACGCUUUUUGGUCCUGUGAUAAGCACUGCUGCACUAAUUGCUAGCCAGUCUCUCGCAAAUGGAGGGAAAAAAUACUUUGUUUUGUUAAUAAUUACGGAUGGAGUUGUAACAGAUCUCCAAGAAACCAAAGAUGCUAUAGUGAAGGCAUCUGACCUACCGUUAUCAAUCCUUAUUGUUGGAGUUGGAGGAGCUGACUUCAAAGAAAUGGAGGUGCAAUUCACGUUUAUACUUCUUUCUAUGCCAGAAUACGUGAUUAUAGAAGUACUAAUAAUUCCUUUACAUUCUAGAUGCUAGGGUAGAAACCUCAAUUGUCUUAUUGAAUUCCUCCAAAUUUCUGAAGUUUUAACUGUUGCAUAGAUUUUGGAUGCUGACAAAGGAGAGAGACUCGAAAGUUCUACUGGACGUGUUGCUUCACGUGAUAUAGUUCAGUUUGUACCAUUCCGGAGUGUACAAAGUAAGAAAAUUUGCUAUUGUGAUAAAUAAAAGGUUAAGUGAUUAUUUUUAGUUUGUUGUAACACCUGUAAUAUUCGCAGGUGGACAAAUUUCUGUUGUUCAAGCGCUUCUAGCUGAACUACCUACUCAAUUUUCAACCUACAUGCGAUCCAGGGAUAUUCAACCAAAUAUUUAAUUUUGUAAAGAAGUUGUACAUAAAUGCAGUCAUGGUUUGUAGGUAAUGAGGCCUCAUUCAUCUUACUGGAAGAGUUACAUAUGCAUUCUUACAGAUUUAUGAAGUCAACAAAACCUCAUGCCAAUGGGCUUGGGUUAGCCGCACCAUCCUUUGUGAUAUUCUUAAGGGCUGGACAAAUUUUACAUUGUUUCCAGCUUGGAACAGUGGCUCUUCCUGGCUCGGAACAAGGUUUGGACAGAUCAAUGAAGACUUCUUACAUUUGGAAUAAAGUACGGAACAAUAGCUGAAAAUGCAAUGCAUUCAAGCCAGCUAUGGAAGGAUUGAGGUGGAACUAAAGUGGCCAUGCAUAUCUUGCAAAGUGGAAUAAAACUGUGAAGAAGUCAGAAUUGUAAUGCCGUCUUUUGAUUGUUUUACUUGGUUGUAUUGAUACCUUUAGGCGAUUUGUUGCCCAAAUAUUUCUUCUUUUUGACCUAAUGUGAAAUCCAUUGUUCAGUUUGAAAAUGAUCCGCUUCUUUCUCUUCCACACUGUUCCUUUUGUUCCCUUAGUCAAGUCUGUUGAACGUUCUUAUUAAUUAAUUUUUGGUCAAAACAAGAAAUUGAUAGAUGUUAGAU